GUAGGGUGCAAGCGUUAAUCGGAAUUACUGGGCGUAAAGCGUGCGCAGGCGGUUUUGUAAGUCUGUCGUGAAAGCCCCGGGCUUAACCUGGGAAUUGCGAUGGAGACUGCAAGGCUUGAAUCUGGCAGAGGGGGGUAGAAUUCCACGUGUAGCAGUGAAAUGCGUAGAGAUGUGGAGGAACACCGAUGGCGAAGGCAGCCCCCUGGGUCAAGAUUGACGCUCAUGCACGAAAGCGUGGGGGGGAGCAAACAGGAUUAGAUACCCUGGUAGCCCACGCCCUAAACGAUGUCUACUAGUUGUCGGGUCUUAAUUGACUUGGUAACGCAGCUAACGCGUGAAGUAGACCGCCUGGGAGUACGGUCGCAAGAUUA
This 371-nucleotide ribosomal RNA is filed under the name uncultured organism. Its description in RNAcentral is "partial 16S ribosomal RNA". It matches the Rfam family "Bacterial small subunit ribosomal RNA", at positions 527 to 896 of the family's 1533-position model. The record is from RNAcentral.